RNAcentral lists this transfer RNA (82 nucleotides) under Ixodes scapularis (black-legged tick). It matches the Rfam family "tRNA". From Rfam's summary of the family: Transfer RNA (tRNA) molecules are approximately 80 nucleotides in length. Their secondary structure includes four short double-helical elements and three loops (D, anti-codon, and T loops). Lineage: Eukaryota; Metazoa; Arthropoda; Arachnida; Ixodida; Ixodidae. The record is from Rfam by way of RNAcentral.
GCAGUCAUGGCCAAGUGGUUAUGGCGAUGGACUAGAAAUCCAUUGAGGUCUCCCCGCACAGGUACGAAACUUGUCGACUGCG